Molecule: ribosomal RNA, 588 nt
Filed under: Aspergillus sp. LYIH-2016
Lineage: Eukaryota; Fungi; Ascomycota; Eurotiomycetes; Eurotiales; Aspergillaceae
Description: eukaryotic LSU rRNA
Rfam family: 5.8S ribosomal RNA (bases 194-347)
Source: RNAcentral
UAGGGUUACGAGUGCGGUUCUUUAUGGCCCACCUCCCACCCGUGACUAUUGUACCUUGUUGCUUCGGCGGGCCCGCCAGCGUUGCUGGCCGCCGGGGGGCGACUCGCCCCCGGGCCCGUGCCCGCCGGAGACCCCAACAUGAACCCUGUUCUGAAAGCUUGCAGUCUGAGUGUGAUUCUUUGCAAUCAGUUAAAACUUUCAACAAUGGAUCUCUUGGUUCCGGCAUCGAUGAAGAACGCAGCGAAAUGCGAUAACUAAUGUGAAUUGCAGAAUUCAGUGAAUCAUCGAGUCUUUGAACGCACAUUGCGCCCCCUGGUAUUCCGGGGGGCAUGCCUGUCCGAGCGUCAUUGCUGCCCUCAAGCCCGGCUUGUGUGUUGGGCCCUCGUCCCCCGGCUCCCGGGGGACGGGCCCGAAAGGCAGCGGCGGCACCGCGUCCGGUCCUCGAGCGUAUGGGGCUUCGUCUUCCGCUCCGUAGGCCCGGCCGGCGCCCGCCGACGCAUUUAUUUGCAACUUGUUUUUUUCCAGGUUGACCUCGGAUCAGGUAGGGAUACCCGCUGAACUUAAGCAUAUCAAUAAGUCGGAGGAAUA